This 1324-nucleotide ribosomal RNA is filed under the name Torbenella insolita. RNAcentral describes it as "SSU rRNA". It matches the Rfam family "Eukaryotic small subunit ribosomal RNA", at positions 37 to 1302 of the family's 1831-position model. Lineage: Eukaryota; Metazoa; Arthropoda; Malacostraca; Decapoda; Munididae. The record is from RNAcentral.
UCAAAGAUUAAGCCAUGCAUGUCUCAGUACAAACCAAAUAAGAAGGUGAAACCGCGAAUGGCUCAUUAAAUCAGCUAUUUUUUAUUUGAUAUUUAUACCCUGUUUUUCCUUGGAUAACUGUGGUAAUUCUAGAGCUAAUACAUGCCCAUAUAGUCCCUGACUUUACUGUCAGGGCGCUCUUGUUAGUAUCAAAACCGGUAACAGACUUUGGUCUGUAAACCAACCUAUGAUGACUCUGGAUAAUUUAUAGCUGAGCGCACAGUCCUUGUACUGGUGCUGCUUCUUUCAAGUGUCUGCCUUAUCAGCUUUCGAUUGUAAGUUAUGUGCUUACAAUGGCUAUAACGGGUGACGGGGAAUCAGGGUUCGAUUCCGGAGAGGGAGCCUGAGAAACGGCUACCACAUCCAAGGAAGGCAGCAGGCACGCAAAUUACCCACUCCCAGCACGGGGAGGUAGUGACGAAAAAUAACGAUGCGAGACUCAUCCGAGGCCUCGCAAUCGGAAUGAGUACACUUUAAAUCCUUUAACGAGGAUCCAUUGGAGGGCAAGUCUGGUGCCAGCAGCCGCGGUAAUUCCAGCUCCAAUAGCAUAUAUUAAAGUUGUUGCGGUUAAAAAGCUCGUAGUUGGAUUACCGUUCUGGACUGAUGGUACUUCGCCUUAUGGUGUUUACUAUCACGCUCCAAAACCGCCUACACAACGUAAAAGUUGUUGGGCUCCACCAGCUCGCAUGGGAUGCUCUUAACCGAGUGUCCUGAGUGGCUGGUAUGUUUACUUUGAAAAAAUUAGAGUGCUCAGAGCAGGCUAUAUGUAUUGCCUGAAUGACUAUGCAUGGAAUAAUGGAAUAGGACCUCGGUUCUAUUUUGUCGGUUUUCUUUGGAAUCCGAGGUAAUGACUAAGAGAGACAAACGGGGGCAUUUGUACUGUGGCGCUAGAGGUGAAAUUCUUGGACCGUCACAAGACAAACAACUGCGAAAGCAUUUGCCAAGGAUGUUUUCAUUAAUCAAGAACGAAAGUUAGAGGUUCGAAGGCGAUCAGAUACCGCCCUAGUUCUAACCAUAAACGAUGCUAACCAGCAAUCCGCCGGUGUUAUUCCCAUGACCCGGCGGGCAGCUUCCGGGAAACCAAAGUCUUUGAGUUUCGGGGGAAGUAUGGUUGCAAAGCUGAAACUUAAAGGAAUUGACGGAAGGGCACCACCAGGAGUGGAGCCUGCGGCUUAAUUUGACUCAACACGGGAAACCUCACCAGGCCCAGACACUGGAAGGAUUGACAGAUUGAGAGCUCUUUCUCGAUUCAGUGGGUGGUGGUGCAUGGCCGUUCUUAGUUGGU